GACGAACGCUGGCGGCGUGCUUAACACAUGCAAGUCGAACGGAAAGGCCCUGCUUUUGUGGGGUGCUCGAGUGGCGAACGGGUGAGUAACACGUGAGUAACCUGCCCUUGACUUUGGGAUAACUUCAGGAAACUGGGGCUAAUACCGGAUAGGAGCUCCUGCUGCAUGGUGGGCGUUGGAAAGUUUCGGCGGUUGGGGAUGGACUCGCGGCUUAUCAGCUUGUUGGUGGGGUAGUGGCUUACCAAGGCUUUGACGGGUAGCCGGCCUGAGAGGGUGACCGGCCACAUUGGGACUGAGAUACGGCCCAGACUCGUACGGGAGGCAGCGGUGGAGAAUAUUGCACAGUAGGCGGGAGCCUGAUGCAGCAACGCCGCGUGCGGGAUGACGGCCUUCGGGUUGUAAACCGCUUUCGCCUGUGACGAAGCGUGAGUGACGGUAAUGGGUAAAGAAGCACCGGCUAACUACGUG
Molecule: ribosomal RNA, 468 nt
Filed under: uncultured bacterium
Lineage: Bacteria
Description: partial 16S ribosomal RNA
Rfam family: Bacterial small subunit ribosomal RNA
Source: RNAcentral